UCGGAUCAUUCCCAUAUGACAGAGGAGAA
Molecule: non-coding RNA, 29 nt
Filed under: Homo sapiens (human)
Lineage: Eukaryota; Metazoa; Chordata; Mammalia; Primates; Hominidae
Source: RNAcentral